RNAcentral lists this transfer RNA (73 nucleotides) under Cyanidiococcus yangmingshanensis. Its description in RNAcentral is "tRNA-Arg". It matches the Rfam family "tRNA". Rfam says of the family: Transfer RNA (tRNA) molecules are approximately 80 nucleotides in length. Lineage: Eukaryota; Rhodophyta; Bangiophyceae; Cyanidiales; Cyanidiaceae. The record is from RNAcentral.
AUGCUUGUAGCUUAAAGGAUAAAGCAUUAGACUACGAAUCUAAAGAUUGGAAGUUCGAAUCUUUCCAAGCAUG